Long non-coding RNA from Anolis carolinensis (green anole), 8697 nucleotides. RefSeq lists it as uncharacterized. The record is from RefSeq and is a predicted model, not a curated record. The transcript is spliced from 4 exons. NCBI's taxonomy places the organism in Eukaryota, Metazoa, Chordata, Lepidosauria, Squamata, Anolidae.
GGGGGGGGGGGUUGAGCUGCUCGUCCAAGGGAGAGCUAAUGUUUCAAUCGCUGGCCCCCGGAGGACCACACAAAAAGCCACGGCUUCGUUGAUGGGGCUAUUAUGUGGCCUUUGCAGCUAGCGGUGGACUUAACCAAACUGUUAUCUAUUGGGGAGGUAAUGAAGCCCUUGGGGAUGCAAGGCCCAUGCCACACACUGUGCCUCACACGCCACAGGUCUCUUCCUUAGAUCCUCUUCUUCUUUUUGAAAAAGAUUGCUUCACUUUUAGGGAGCGAAGUGAGGUAGCCCUUGUUUGUACCUCUGGGAUAGAGUUCUGAUGGCACCUUUAAGGCCAGUCAUUAGCUUGUGUUGGGCCUCCACCUCUGUGCCAAGCAAAAUGUGCUCUUCUGUACGGUUUUGUUCCCUUCUCCUUAGACUUUUGUCUCCCUGACUCCAGUAUUCUUAGUUCAGUUUGAUUUUUGAAAAGUAUUUCCAAAGGAUUGGCUUCAGCCUUUUGAUUAGAACAGAGAAUAUUAAUAGAUAUUCAAUGUGUUGUGGGAAGGCUUUCAUGGCCCAAAUCACUGGGUUGCUGGGCUGUAUGGCCAUGCUCCAGAAGAAUUAUCUCCUGACAUUUAAUAAUAAUAAUAAUAAUAAUAAUAAUAAUAAUAAUAAUAAUAAUAAUAAUAAACUUUAUUUAUAUCCUGCCUCCAUCUCCCAGAGGGACUCCAGGAGGUUCACAAAACACUCAAGGUGUGACAUACAAAAUACAACAAGUGCAAAACAAAACAUAGGCAAUAAACACAUUUUGCCCACAUCUAUGGCAGGCAUCCUCAGAGGUUGUGAGAUCUGUUGGAAACUAAGCAAGUGGGGUUUAUUUAUCUGUGGAAUGUUCAGGGUGGGAGAAAGCAUUUUGCCUGCCCGAGGCAAGUGUGAAUGUUGCAAUUGGCCAGCUUGAUUAGCAGUUAAUAGCCUUGCAGCUUCAAAACCUGGCUGCUUCCUGUCUGGGGGAAUCCUUUAUUGGGAGGUGUUAACUGGCCCUGAUUAUUUCUUGUCUGGAAUUCCCCUGUCUUCUGAAUUUUGUUCUUUCACCUCCCAACAAAGGAUUCCCUCAGGCAGGAAGCAGCCAGGUUUUGAAGCUGCAAGGCUGUUCAGUGCUAAUCAAGCUGGCCCAUUGCAAUAUUCACACUUGCCUCAGGCAGACAAGAGUUUUUUCUCCCACCCUGGACAUUACACAGCUAUAUAAACCCCACUUGACUAGUUUUCAACAGACCUCACAACCUCUGAGGAUGCCUGCCAUAUGUGGGUGAAACAUCAGGAGAGAAUGCUUCUGGAACAUGGCCAUACAGCCCGGAAAACUCACAGCAACCCAAUAUUAUUUGUGCCUUGAUUUGCAAAUCACACUACGUAACACGACUUUUGUUCCUGGUUUAUAAAUUCCCAAUUCCCUAAUGUAGGACAUCCUGCAGCACAUUUUGCUAUAUAUUUUAAAUGAAUAUCUCAGAGUCUCAACCAAUUCAACUAAGUUUCUGGAGCAUAACAACCACUUUCAAAGUAAGUACCACACAAUGAAACAGGAAGUAACACUUUUAACGCAGAAACAGGACAUUUUUGAGAUUGUGCUACAUAGUGUUGUUGUUGUUGUUGUUGUUGUUAUAUUUAUCUAUACCCCUCUUUACUCUCUUAAGUGAGACGCAAAGCAGUUCACCACAUUUAAAACAUUACAAUUUAAUCCAAAAUACCACUCUUCCCAGCUGCGUGAGGGCAAGCAAAUAUUGGCACCUGAGAUAGUAACUACGGAGAAAUGAGAGAACUAAGGCCUAAAAUUAAAAAUCCCCUCAGAAGUUCUUUCACGCCCCAAACCUUUAGCAUUGCAGCAGCCCACAGCUUCAUUUGAGCCUUUAGGAAAACAGUUUGGGCACCCAAAGAAAGGGGUCAGGCAAAAUCACCCAGGAACUGGGAACACAGAAAAUAUAAGAGAUCUAGGUGCGAACUCUUUUGAAUAUUUAACUACUCGGAAAUUGUAAACAUUUGGAGAGGGAAUAAAAUGUCCUUUGGAGGGAAAGCAGAAUUCCUAUUUGGGGAGGGGGCAGUGUCUCUUGAGGACACCAAAAUCCGACAGUUAGUCCCAACCAAAUAAAGGCAUUUAAUGGAGGAUGGGAACUCUCUGCGUCAAGCCUUAGCAUGUUCCAUUAAUUUAAUAGGUUGGAUUUAGUUGAGACCACCAAAUGGAUUUAGGCCUGGAGUUGUUGGUCAGUAUAAAGUAGCCACCUUUGUUGUUGUUUUUGUUGUUGUUGUUGUUGUUAUAUUGUCCAGCUGUAGUAUGCCCAGAUAUUUACAGGCUUCAGGCUGAUUUCACUUUAUGGUUUGUUCCUUUGGCAUCUCUAUGCCCUCACUGUGUGAGUAAUUUUCCCUUUCUUUAGUGCCACUGUGGCGCAUUUUUCUAGGCCGAACUCCAUACUGAUUUCAGUGCUGAAGAUACUAACUGUGUUGGUCAGUGACUGGAUUUCAGUUUUUGAUUUUCCAUAAAGCUUUAGAUCAUCCCGGUACAGCAAGUGGGAAAAUGUUGGUGAAUUUCUUGCUCUUUGGUAGGCCAUGUUUGUUUUCUGUAGAAUUACUGAUAGUGGGAUCAUUGCAAUGAUGAACAACAGUGGUGACGCUGGAAAAUUCCUCAGUUCCAUAACUUUAGUUUUCCACAAAUAGCAUUAUUAUUAUUAUUAUUAUUAUUAUUAUUAUUAUUAUUAUUAUUAUUUCACGCUGGGCUCCCCUCAAGGAUGAGGUGGAGCAUAACAUGCCUAGAUAAAAACAUAAGGCCAUUAAACACAUAUAUUAAAAGGCAUAGACUUAAGAUUAAAGCAUGUUAAUAUAUUGUUGAAGGCUUUCAUGGUCGGAAUCACUGGGUUGUUGUGCAUUUUCCGGGCCUUAUGGUCAUGUUAAAUAUCUCACAACCUCUGAGGAUGCCUGCCAUAGAUGUGGGCGAAAAGUCAGGAGAGAAUGCUUCUGGAACAUGGCCAUGUUAAUAUAUUCGAUUUGUGGUGUUUGUGACCCAACAUGCAAUUUGGUGAAAAAACAGCCUUGCUUGGAACUCUAGAAUGUUUUCCCUCCUAGGAACCAAUCUGAGUUUUUCUUCCCUACAGUAAACUGGAAAUUCCGUAGAGGAAAAAUAUCCCCGGAGAGAGUUUUUAUUUCCAUUCCAGAUGCCUCAGACCAGUAAUGGAAGGAUUCCCCUAUUUCGGGUUCACUUGAGUUGGGUGGCCUUGGGGUGCAUUACACUAUAAAAGUAAUGACAUUACUUUAAUUGCCCUGGCUCAAUGCUAUUUCUUCUGGGUUGCUGCGAGUUUUCCGGGCUGUAUGGCCAUGUUCCAGAAGAAUUCUCUCCUGACUUUUCGCCUACAUCUAUGGCAGGCAUCCCCAGAGGAUGUGAGGCCUGUUGGAAACUAAGCAAGUGGGGUUUACUUACCUGUGAAAUGUCCAGGCUGGGAGAAAGAACUCUUAUCUGUUUGAGGCAGGUGUGAAUUUUGCAAUUGGCCACCUUGAUUAGCACUGAAGAGCACUGAAGGUCUGGCUGAUUCCUGCCUGGGGGAAAUCCUUUGUUUGGAGGUGUUACCUGGCCCUGAUUGUUUCCUGCCUGGAAUUCCCAUUUUCAGGGUGUUGUUCUUUAUUUACUGUCCUGAUUUUAGAGUUUUUUAAAUACUAGUAGUCAGUUUUUCUUCAUUUUCGUGGUUUCCUCCUUUCUGUUGAAAUUGUUCACAUGCUUGUGGAUUUCAGGAUAGAAGAGAGAAAACAGCAAAGCCUGUUUGGACAUGCAUAGGAUUAUAGAGAGGUGUCCCUCAGUCUAUCUAUCCACUACCCAUCUAAUAAAUGAGACUUGUGUAGUCCAGGAUGACUCCCAACAGCUUCCUUCAUCUCCACCUCCAGCCCUAGACCUCCUCAAUCCCUCCCUCCCAGCCAUGCUGCACUCGUGUUGACAGCCACCGCGUCUGCACCUCCUCCGCAACUUCCUCUCGCUCUUCUUCUGCUCAUCGGUUCCUUUGGGAUUCAGAGCUCUCCUUUAGACCUUCAGAGCCUCAUCUCCUCCCGAGGAAACUCAGCAGAGGCACCAAGACAAACCGCGUCUCUCUUCGGCUGCCAUUCUUCCGAUCCUCCUUUCAGAGUCUUGGGAAGGAGAGAGUCGAAGCCGGCGCUUGAAGCGGGUCCAUAGCGAAAGAGAGAGAAAGAGGGGCUUCCAUGGGAGAAAACAGCACUCUGCUUGCGGAAGAAAAAGGAAAGGAAAGGACCUCAGUGGAAGUGGAUACAUGUAUGUUGCUGUUUGGACUUCAAUAUAGAAGUACUCUUGUGAAUUUCAAAAAGGAGGUAUCCCUUUACUUCGAAGUCUGAUAUCUGAAGCCGGGAGAAGAAAAUCCCUAAUGUUUUCCUUGUAGAUCAAUCCACAAUUUCAGUCAAAUCUGAAAAGUACUUGUACAGGUUUAAAUGGAAAUAUUACACUUUGAUUUCCGAUUUCUUGAAAAGGUAAGUAAAAAAAAACAACCUUCAUAGAUGAAUAAACAACACUCGUUCAAUGUGUUGUCGAAAGUUUUGAUGGCCCAAAUCACUGGGUUGCUGUGAGUUUUCCGGGCUGUAUGGCCAUGUUCCAGAAGCAUUCCCUUCUGACGUUUCACCCACAUCUAUGGCAGGCAUCAUCAGAGGUUGUGAGGUUUGUUGGAAACUAGGCAAGCGGGUUUAUAUAUCUGUGGAAAGUCCAGGGUGGGAGAAAGAACUCUUGUCUGUUUGAGGCAAGUGUAAAUGUUGCAAUUAAUCACUUUGAUUAGCCUUGCAGCUUCAAAGCUUGGCUGCUUCCAGCAGUAUUAAACAACUCUAAAAUCAGGACAAUAAAUAAAGAGCAACACAACAACAACAACAAAAACCAAUGUUAACUUCUUAAUGAGAAGUUCUGGCUGAACGAUGCCUUUUGAGUAUUAGGUUCUCUCUUCUUCCACCUAUUAUUAUGAUUGUCUUUAUUUAUGCCCUGCCUUUUCCCCUGUGGGGGCUAACACUCCACACUAAACACGUCUAAAAGGUGCAAUGCAAAAGUUAAAAGGCAAUUAAACAGUAACAGUGGGGUAAAAACAAUAUCAAAAUACACUAAAUAGAUUAAAAUGGCCUUUAAACUCAUAUUCCCCCAAUCCCACCCACAGCACCCCUGGAAUUCAAAACCACUGCACCCUUUGAACUGAUCUUCCACACCUCUUUCUUGAAAAGCCUGUCUGAAUAAAAAGGUUUUAUACCUAGAAAAAGAUUGGUCUGGUUCUUACAUAAUUGUUAGGCACGGUUGCAACGCUGCUUCUAAAACCAAACCGACCUUAUUAUACAUAGGAUGAAGAAAGGGGGAACUAGUGCCUAUGGGCCUGGAUAUGGGUAUUUAUUUAUGCCUUCAAGUUGGCGACCCCAUUAAUGUAUAGGGUUUUUUAAAGGCAGGAAUAUUCAGGGCCCUUCCAGACAGGCCCUAUAUCUCAGGAUCUGAUCCCAGAUUUUCUGCUGGGAUCUCCACUGCCGGAUAAUCUAGGAUAAACAGAAAACCUGGGAUCAGAUCCUGGGAUAUAGGGCCUGUCUGGAAGGGCUUCCUUUUGUGCAAUAGUGUCACUUUAGUUGUUUUGGCUUAUGGGGUGAGUUAAGGUUUGAUUUGCUCUCAAACCUACUUUUUCUUGCCAGUCCUGAGACUUACACACGAGUAGACAUGUGAAGGAUUUUUUUGUCUUCUUGCCCCAUGGAAACUGAUAAACUCAUUCCCCAGCCUUCUCACAACUCUCGUACUCAUUUAAUGGACGAUACACACCAUUUCCAGCCUAAUGGUAUGAUGCUUUGUCUUUUGUAGGUCCAGAGUUUAGAGCCGAUAAAACUUGGGAGCAAACUAUUUGUCCAGCAUUCUUGGCCAGUCCACCGCCUCCUUCCAGAAGCUGGAAAAGUUUUUUUGGCGCGAAGACUCUCAGAAUCGCCUGUUAGAACAUUCUUGGAGAAACGUUUCCAAGCUCUGCUUCUUCGCGGAAAACCUUCCCAAAUCACCAAAAACUCGUUUGUCUGGAUACCCCGUUUAUUUCCAAUCCAUCAACACUUCUGAUUUUAUUUGGUUCCUGAUUUCAUCUCAAUCCAAUACUAUGCCUUCAUAUGGGGUAGAGAUGGGGAUGAUUCCCUGCCGUUCAGGCUUCCAAUACACUCCAGAUUCCAGCCAGAAUUUAAAAGUGAUCUAUACUGCAGAACAGUGGUUCUCAACCUGUGGGUCCCAGGUGUUUUGGCCUACAACUCCCAGAAAGUUUACCAGCUGUUCGAAUUUCGGAGAGUUGAAGGCCAAGACAUCUGGGGACCCACAGGUUGAGAACCACUGCUGUAGAAUGAAUGCUCCUCCACACCAAUCGAAUUGCAAUAGCAUGGUGCUGUGGAAUCAUCUGUCUCUAGCCUUCCCUGCCAAAGGGUAGCCAGACUAGCACUUCAAGGGUCCCAGAGAACUGAGGCAUUGUAGUUAAAGUCGUGUCAAAGUGCAUUAAUUCUACAGUAUAGAAUUAAGAUUCUCAACCAAAUUUAGGAAUGGGUUCAGCACCUUGUCUUGGAAAUAGCAACCUCCCAAGCCUUUCACUAUUUGUUUGUUGUUAUAUAUAUUUGCUAACCUGUAUUCUAUGUGUAUGUUGAUUUGCCAGUUUGACUGUAUCUCUUUGGUGUGGGAGGGGUUAUAGACAUGUGUACUGAACAUGUUCAGACUCAGGAUUCCAUUUUGUAUUCAGUUUUGCAUCAGACCCCAGUGGAGGUGUAUGCAUGUAUGUGUUUGAUCCUCUUUGAUGUUUGCAUCAGACCUCAGUGGAGGUGGAUGCAUGUUGCUGUUAGGAUUUCAAUAGACAGGUAUGCUUAUAGACUUUAGUGAGUACAACAAUACUUAAAAACUAUGGACUAUUGAUUAAGAAUGAUACCCUGUGUACUCAACACAGAGAGCAGCUACAGCAUAUCCAUAACCGAACUUUGAUAAGAAAUGUGUCUGCAUGGUGAAUUAAUACAAGAUGUUUAUGAGUAAACAAGAUACGUUAUUUUUCAAAGAAGAAUUUGUUUUUAUCAUAAACUAAGAGGUUUCAAGGGAGUGGAUAUUUUUGGCAACAGUAAUCAUAAUUUGCAACUGCAACUUCAGCUUCAAAGAAACAACCAUCCUCUGCUAACCAAAUAUAUUUUUGUAGUGGCAUGUCUUUGCCUUGGCAGUUGAAAGAGCGAUUCUUCAGUUUAAUAGCUGAGUUACCUGUGUGCCAUUACAUGAAUGCUUAUGAAUAUCACUUGUUGAAAGAGUUGACUUCUAAACACGAUGCUUUUGACUAGUAGUUUUCAAAAGGUGAUCUUCACAUGGAGAUUUACAUUUGCCAAACUGUUAGGACAUCACUUUUCCUUUUCAAUAAGUUUAUGAUUGCCAUUUAUUUCCAAAGGGAUAUGUGUCCAGAGAAUGGGUGCAGUUAUUUCCAAUAAGAGAGGAUCCACUACCCUUCUGUCAAGGGAAGCCAGCAGCUCGUAGCUGAAAGAAAUCACCACAUUUGCUCUUUUAAAAGUGUAUGCCUGCCUGGAAAUUGGCCUUAAAUUUGCUGUUACCCAGCAGCUAGGCGUGCGUAAAGGCCCAGGAUUGUGAUAAAUGUGUGUAUGCACCAACAACAACCCUAUGGACUUCCACUGGAAUGCCCUGCAAGAAGUCCUGCCAAAAUUUUAAAACUUGACACUCAUCUCCUCUGCGCUCCAGGUCGGUAUUGAGAGAAAGUAAGACGUUCUCAUAUUUUGAAACAAGGAGAGAGGCGGGAGGAGACUUCGUGCAGCCUUAAGGAGCUCACACAAAUCCCUCGCCAAGCGAGAUCUGGAUCUUUGGGUUGAGAAAUCGCCUUCCUUCUAUGGAAAUAGUUGACAAGAACCCGGAGGAUUAGUCGCAUUCCACUCCGGAUCACCCCCCCCCCCCCCAAUACACACACAUUUCCCCCCCUGGCAAGAUGUGGAAACGACUGAUCCCUUCCCAAGGCUAGAAACAAGGCCCAGGGAAAGUGAUCUAACAGGGAUUUGGGUUGUUUGGCUUUCUGGCCUGGGAGUCCCGCAUGAGCUGCUUGGGCCAGAAAGCUGAUGGGGGCAUUUGACAGGCAGUUCUCUCCCCCCCCCCCCCCCCAGCUCCUUCACAAGACAUUUUUACGGUGAAAUCUUUUGCUUUUCUGUGCCCCUCUUUGCCAUCUUCUUUGCAGUCUGCUAUGGGGAAGGUGGGUUUGCGAAUUUAAAAAUUGGCAGAACAGAACGGGGAGGAAAAAGUUGGAGACUGAAGGCAAAACCAACUGUAACCCAGCCUCCCUCUCUCUAUGUGUCCUCUCUCUCUUUACUUCUCUCUCUGUGAUAUCUUUACUUGAAAGGAUUCCAGAAGGGCUUAUAAACAAGAAAUGGAAACAAGAUCAUCUUGUGACCAUCGAAAAUGCAAGAUACAAAAGGAAUAGUGGCGGGAAGAGGGAAGAGUCUACCUGUCCACCACUUAUUUUAAAAGAUGACAUUCAUACCGAUUAAGCUUGAGACAAGUAUUCUUCCCCAAUGGGACAGACGGAAACCUAUACUUGUAGACUACUCACAGGACAGGACCGUGGAACCUGUUACUCGGAGAUUAUGGGGCCAUCAUGGACCAUUCCUGUUAAGUUUUAAUUGCCAGCAAUGUGUGUAUUUUCUAACCUAUUUAGACAGUCAAUUAUGAUACCCUCA